Molecule: ribosomal RNA, 440 nt
Filed under: uncultured bacterium
Lineage: Bacteria
Description: partial 16S ribosomal RNA
Rfam family: Bacterial small subunit ribosomal RNA
Source: RNAcentral
CCUACGGGUGGCAGCAGUGGGGAAUAUUGCACAAUGGGCGAAACCCUGAUGCAGCGACGCCGCGUGAGUGAAGAAGUAUCUCGGUACGUAAAGCUCUAUCAGCAGGGAAGAUAAUUACGGUACCUGACCAAUAAGCCCCGGCUAACUACGUGCCGGCAGCCGUGGUUAGACGUAGGGGGCAAGCGUUAUCCGGAUUUACUGGGUGUAAAGGGAGCGUAGACGGCAGCACAAGUCUGGAGUGAAAUCCCGGGGCUUAACCCCGGAACUGCUUUGGAAACUGUGAGGCUGGAGUUCAGGAGGGGUAAGCGGAAUGCGUGGUGUAGCGGUGAAAUGCGUAGAUAUUAGGAGGAACACCGAUGGCGAAGGCAGCUUACUGGACUGUAACUGACGUUGAGGCUCGAAAGCGUGGGGAGCAAACAGGAUUAGAUACCCGAGUAGUC